AAUGAACGCUGGCGGCGUGCUUAACACAUGCAAGUCGAACGGAAAGGCCUGCUUUCCCUUGUGGAUUGCGGGUACUCGAGUGGCGAACGGGUGAGUAACACGUGAGUGAUCUGCCCCCAACUUGGGUAUAAGCCUGGGAAACUGGGUCUAAUUCCCGAUAGGACUGCAGGGUGGUGCCUGUGGUGGAAAACGAUUUUCUAGUGGUUGGGGAUGAGCUCGCGGCCUAUCAGCUUGUUGGUGGGGUAAUGGCCUACCAAGGCGGCGACGGGUAGCCGGCCUGAGAGGGUGGACGGCCACAUUGGGACUGAGAUACGGCCCAGACUCCUACGGGAGGCAGCAGUGGGGAAUAUUGCACAAUGGGCGGAAGCCUGAUGCAGCGACGCCGCGUGGGGGAUGACGGCCUUCGGGUUGUAAACUCCUUUCGACCGCGAGGAAGCCACCUGGUUGGAAGGGUGGUGACGGUAGUGGUAGAAGAAGCACCGGCUAACUACGUG
This 494-nucleotide ribosomal RNA is filed under the name uncultured bacterium. RNAcentral describes it as "partial 16S ribosomal RNA". It matches the Rfam family "Bacterial small subunit ribosomal RNA", at positions 28 to 507 of the family's 1533-position model. The record is from RNAcentral.